GACGAGUGGCGGACGGGUGAGUAAUGUCUGGGGAUCUGCCCGAUAGAGGGGGAUAACCACUGGAAACGGUGGCUAAUACCGCAUAACGUCGCAAGACCAAAGAGGGGGACCUUCGGGCCUCUCACUAUCGGAUGAACCCAGAUGGGAUUAGCUAGUAGGCGGGGUAAUGGCCCACCUAGGCGACGAUCCCUAGCUGGUCUGAGAGGAUGACCAGCCACACUGGAACUGAGACACGGUCCAGACUCCUACGGGAGGCAGCAGUGGGGAAUAUUGCACAAUGGGCGCAAGCCUGAUGCAGCCAUGCCGCGUGUAUGAAGAAGGCCUUCGGGUUGUAAAGUACUUUCAGCGGGGAGGAAGGCGAUGCGGUUAAUAACCGCGUCGAUUGACGUUACCCGCAGAAGAAGCACCGGCUAACUCCGUGCCAGCAGCCGCGGUAAUACGGAGGGUGCAAGCGUUAAUCGGAAUUACUGGGCGUAAAGCGCACGCAGGCGGUCUGUUAAGUCAGAUGUGAAAUCCCCGGGCUUAACCUGGGAACUGCAUUUGAAACUGGCAGGCUUGAGUCUUGUAGAGGGGGGUAGAAUUCCAGGUGUAGCGGUGAAAUGCGUAGAGAUCUGGAGGAAUACCGGUGGCGAAGGCGGCCCCCUGGACAAAGACUGACGCUCAGGUGCG
Molecule: ribosomal RNA, 669 nt
Filed under: Pantoea sp.
Lineage: Bacteria; Pseudomonadati; Pseudomonadota; Gammaproteobacteria; Enterobacterales; Erwiniaceae
Description: bacterial SSU rRNA
Rfam family: Bacterial small subunit ribosomal RNA
Source: RNAcentral